Molecule: long non-coding RNA, 3596 nt
Filed under: Solanum lycopersicum (tomato)
Lineage: Eukaryota; Viridiplantae; Streptophyta; Magnoliopsida; Solanales; Solanaceae
Description: long non-coding RNA (SLYC_LNC000491)
Source: RNAcentral
GCGGAUUUCAUCAUCAACUUGGGCCAAAAAUCACAAGUACCGAUCAUCUCUUUCUCUGCGACGAGUCCAUCAAUUUCAUCAGCCCGGAAUCAGUAUUUUGUUCGUACAACUCAUAACGAUUCAUCUCAAGUGAAACCUAUCAGUUCAAUAAUCCAAUCAUUCGGAUGGCGACAAAUUGUACCAAUUUACAUCGAAAAUCAAUUCGGAGAAGGAAUAAUUUCAUUUCUAGCAGAUGCAUUGGAAGAAAUCAACACUCGUAUACCUUAUCGGAGUGUAAUUUCUGAAUUCGCCACUUCAGAUCAGAUCAGAUCUGAGCUAUUGAAGUUGAUGAAUAUGCAGACUAGGGUUUUUAUUGUGCAUAUGCCGAUUUCACUUGGAUCGAAGCUUUUUGCAACGGCGAAAGAAAUUGGUAUGAUGAGUGAAGGUUUUGUUUGGAUUGUUACAGAUGCAAUGGCGAAUCAACUGAAUUCGAUGAAUGUUUCGGUUAUUGAAUCUAUGGAAGGUGUUAUUGGGGUGAAACCUUAUGCACCGAAGAGUAAAAAAGUUGAAGAUUUUACUCAGAGAUGGAAGAUGAAGUUUCGAAAGGAAAAUCCGACGAUGGUUGAUGUGGAAUUGGAUAUCUAUGGAUUAUGGGCUUAUGAUUCUGCAACUGCAUUAGCCAUGGCGGUAGAGAAAUCGAGAAUCAAUGGCGCCUUUUUUCGAAAACCAAAUGUUUCAGGUACGAGUGACAAAUUGACGGAUUGGGUUAAAUUUGAACGUUCAAAAGGUUCAUAUGAUCCGAUUUGGUUAUAUUGGAUUGAAUCAAAAUAUAUCAAAUAACCGGUUAUAAUUAAACAUGAUUCGUAGUGUGUUUGACUAAGCUUUUGCUAGACAAAAGUUAUUUUCUUAAAGAAAAAAAUAUAAUAUAUAUAAACAUGAUUCUUAACUUGGCUCUAAGGGGGUAAUUAUGACAUUUAAUUUUAGAUGUGUUCAAGUAAACGUUUAAAUUUGUAUAAAAUUAAACAAAUAGACACAUAUGACAAUUUUGUUUCCUACGUGACAUCCUAUUUGUACUAUGUCAUAUAGAAAACAUGUGUCUACUUAUUUAAUUUUAUAUAAGUUUAAUUGCUUAUUUGUGCACACUUAAAGUUGAAAGACACUGAAGCGAAGUAAAUGAUCAUGUUUAUGAAUAUACCUAAGAAGAAAGUGUUUAUUUUAAAACGUAAAGGGUUUGAUUAAGUUUUUAAAGAAAGCAAGUGUUUGUGGAAAAUAGCCAAAAUUAUUUUUUUAGAAGCGAAAAUAAAUAACUUUUUCCUACUUUUUAACUAACAUUUGAAAAAAUAUACAUAGAAACAUGGCCGAACACUAAUUAUUUUGCUUUAAAAAUAUGAUAUCUAUUGCUCGUGAGAGAUAAUAAAUAUCUUGUUAGUCGAUGUAUGCUAAAUUUGUUCCAGACACCAUGAUCAUGAAAAAACUUGGCCGAAAACUAAUUAUUGUCCAUUUAAAAUUAGUCGAUCAAACACAAACUAGUUUUGUACACAUAAGCUAACUUUAAAAGUUUGGCCAAACAAACUAUCAAUGUCACCUCCUUCUUUAUUUUGCUUUUUUUAUGAAAUAUGUUGGAAGUAUAUUUCACUUUACUACCUAAAUCUUCAAAAUUGAUUCAUGUAUAUUUGAGUUUGUUUUGUAAUGCAACCAGUUUAAACUUGGACAAAUUCAACUGGUGAGCUAUGUUGCUCAGACUCUUCAAAAAUGUCAUAAAAUACGUGUCAACUUUUUCAAAAGUAGUGUAUUUUUGAAGAAUCCAACAUGCAUGCAGCAACAUUUUUGGAGACCCCGAGCAACUCAGUAGUGAAAUAAGUUUAUUUUUUGACACCUCUAAAAAAAAUUUCAGGAAAUGCAACAGAUCUUGAAGCUUUUGGAGUUUCCAGAGAUGGUCCAAAGCUUCUUAAAGCUAUACUAAACACUACUUUCAAAGGCCUUAGCGGAGACUUUCAACUUGUGGAUGGACAAUUGCAAUCUCCACCUUAUCAGAUCAUCAAUUUAAUUGGUAAUGGUGUUAAAGAAAUUGGAUUCUGGACAAGAGAACAUGGCAUUGUUAGAAAACUGAAUUCAAGACGAGGAUAUUCUGUUUCUAAGGAUAAUUUUCGAUCAAUUAUAUGGCCUGGUGACACUACUUCUGUUCCAAAAGGUUGGGUAAUACCAACAAAUGGCAAAAAACUGAAAAUUGGAGUUCCGGUGAAGGAUGGUUUCACCGAGUUUGUUAAAGUUACAAGAGAUGUUACUACUAACACAACGAUAGUUACUGGAUACUGCAUCGAUGUUUUCGAUGCAGUGAUGGAAGCAUUACCAUAUUAUGUUCCUUAUGAAUAUGUUCCAUUUGCUGCUCCUAAUGGAAAGAGUGCCGGUGAUUAUAAUGAACUGGUUUAUCAAGUAUUUCUUGGGGUACAUUCUCUCUGACUCCUCUACUAUCGACUUUUAAGUUAUAUAUACUGACAGUAUGAUUCUUACAUGCUACAAAGAUUAACCGAUGAACAGAACUUUGAUGUUGUUGUAGGGGACACUACCAUUGUCGCGAAUAGGUCACAAUUUGUAGACUUUACAUUACCAUACACGGAGUCUGGAGUUACGAUGAUGGUGCCAAUCAAAGAUGAUAAUAGAGAUAAUACAUGGGUAUUUUUGAAGCCAUUGACUUGGGAGCUCUGGUUAACAAGUUUCUGUUCUUUUGUUUUCAUUGGCUUUGUCAUUUGGCUACUCGAACAUAGAGUAAAUGAAGACUUUAGAGGACCUUUUUGGCAUCAAGUUGGCAUGAUCUUUUGGUUCUCCUUCUCAACUAUGGUCUUUGCACAGAGUAAUUUCCCUUUCCUUCUCUUAAAUUAGUAUCAAAUGUUAUCAAAGGCAAGUUAAAUCCGAGGGUCAAAAUUUGUUUGAGUGCUCUGCCUCACUUAAUGUGCACUUCAGUAUCGUCAUCAAGGUUUUAAUGCAUACUUUUCUUUGCAUAAUCAAUCACUUUUGAAGAUACGACACUAAGCAAUUGAUAUUUCACGUUAUCAUAGAAAAGUUGACAUUCAUGUUUAUAAGUUGUAACCAUUAAAAAGAAAAUGCACAAGUAUCCCCAUCAACCUAUGCCCGAAAUCCCAGAAGGUCGUAUUAGCCCCUGAACUUAUUUUAUAAGUAAUCUUUUACCCCUUUUCGACCUACGUAGCACUAGCUUGAAAAAAAAAAGUCAACCAGCAUUGGACCCACAAUAUAGUGCCACGUAGGCCCAAAAAAGGGUUGAAUGGUUGAAUAUUAUUAAUAAAAUAAGUUCAGAAGUAAUAGGACCUUAGUAUAGUAUAAGUGUGACUCUUAGAUUUCGGACAUAAGUUGAGAAGGUACUUAUGCAUUAUCCCCCGUUUAAGAGGGAGCAUACACAUACACACUCUUCAAUUUGAAUCACCUUUUGUUACUUCUACAUAACAUAUGCUUAAGAGUUCUAACCUGAAAUGUCUUCUUUUUGAUUCUUGAUAUCGACAGAGGAGAGGAUCGUCAGCAAUUUGGCGAGGUUCGUGUUGAUCAUCUGGUUCCUAGUGUUGCUCAUAUUGACAUCAAGCUAUACAGCAAGUCUUACAUCAAUG